AGACAUAGAUCGAGUGGCAUUUGAUAACGUAAAGUAAAAUGACACUAGAGGUAGUGUGAGGUAAAGAAUCAGUGUAAUAUAAAGAAUGAUGAUAAUGACUAAAAUGAAAACAAAAUGGGGCGUAAAGAACAAUGAUUGCUAGAGUUAGCAAAAAUAAAGAAAGGUAAAGAACAUGAUUGCUAGAGUUAGCAUAAGUAAAGAAAGGUAAAGAACAAUAAUUGCUAGAGUAGCAACAUAAAGUGAUGUAAAGAACACUAGAGUUAGUGUAAAG
RNAcentral lists this long non-coding RNA (271 nucleotides) under Ananas comosus (pineapple). RNAcentral's name for it is "long non-coding RNA (ACOM_LNC044241)". The record is from RNAcentral. Lineage: Eukaryota; Viridiplantae; Streptophyta; Magnoliopsida; Poales; Bromeliaceae.